Molecule: ribosomal RNA, 433 nt
Filed under: uncultured bacterium
Lineage: Bacteria
Description: partial 16S ribosomal RNA
Rfam family: Bacterial small subunit ribosomal RNA
Source: RNAcentral
AACGAACGCUGGCGGCAUGCCUAACACAUGCAAGUCGAACGAGACCUUCGGGUCUAGUGGCGCACGGGUGCGUAAAGCGUGGGAACCUGCCCUUAGGUUCGGAAUAACUCCCCGAAAGGGGUGCUAAUACCGGAUAAUGUCUUCGGACCAAAGAUUUAUCGCCUUUGGAUGGGCCCGCGUUGGAUUAGCUAGUUGGUAGGGUAAAAGCCUACCAAGGCGACGAUCCAUAGCUGGUCUGAGAGGAUGAUCAGCCACACUGGGACUGAGACACGGCCCAGACUCCUACGGGAGGCAGCAGUGGGGAAUAUUGGACAAUGGGCGAAAGCCUGAUCCAGCAAUGCCGCGUGAGUGAUGAAGGCCUUAGGGUUGUAAAGCUCUUUUACCCGAGAUGAUAAUGACAGUACCGGGAGAAUAAGCUCCGGCUAACUCCGUG